This is a long non-coding RNA of Zea mays, 971 nucleotides long. RefSeq lists it as uncharacterized. The transcript has 5 exons. NCBI's taxonomy places the organism in Eukaryota, Viridiplantae, Streptophyta, Magnoliopsida, Poales, Poaceae. The record is from RefSeq and is marked validated.
UUUCCCUAGGCCUCGGCCUAGGAACUGACUCGCGCCACAACGACGUGGAACAUUUCCACGCGAAGGCGAGGGGGAGCCCGGGAGGGAGGUGUGUGCGAUUCGUGCGGCGGCGGCACACUAGGGCGACACCUGCGACUCCUCUCCGCCCCCUACGUAGGAGGAGGUGAGAGUUUUUGGCGGACUGCAACAUCUACCUCGUUAGGGCAGCCGCUUGGAUUCGUUGUACAGCCGCCCGGAUUCGCAGGGGCAGUCGCUCAGAUUCGCUGGGAGUUCUCCGCCUGCAAUGUAUUCAAGUCAAGACAUGUUCUGGUGUACAAUGUACUCAGGUCAAGACGUGUAUUUGGCAAAUUGGAAUUGACAAACUACUAUUUUUUGGCUUUUGAUACUAAUUUCAGAUGUGCAUAAUUCAUUUUUUUGUCCUUGCUGCUUUCACACAUGAAUCUCUCUGAAGUUGUCCCUAAAAGGCUCUACCACCAGCUUGCAACAUUGGUAUUGAUCAUUCUAACAAAAUAUAUUCCACUGAACUUGAGAAGAUGCCUACUUAAUUUUCUUGUCUCUGUACUUGCGGUUGCCGAUCGAAAAUCUGCAUCAGCAAACUUAUGAGUAUUAUUGCUAGAGUUGCUGCAGAUACUUAUGAGUAUUAGUAUAUGUGCUUCUGCAUCACCUAUGGUUCUACAAAUGUAAGAGCUAGGAUAGUAAAUGCACUUGGAGGUGGACAAGAGAAAAAAACAAAGCUUGACUGCUUGUGUUGAUCAUUUCUGUUGUUGAGCCAACUUUGAGGUCAACACAAUGACAAUUCUAUGUUGUUGAGCAAACUAUUCAGAAGACAAUAUACUAAAAGAUGAAAGCUUUGAAAAAUUUCUCUUAGAAAUAGGUCAUAUAUGCAACAUGGGAUAUGCACAAUGUUGUGGUUCACUUUUUAAGAUAUGCUCUAUUGUAUAUUCAACCAAGCCUGAAGAAUAAUUAUAGAC